RNAcentral lists this ribosomal RNA (494 nucleotides) under uncultured bacterium. Its description in RNAcentral is "partial 16S ribosomal RNA". It matches the Rfam family "Bacterial small subunit ribosomal RNA", at positions 28 to 506 of the family's 1533-position model. The record is from RNAcentral.
GAUGAACGCUGGGCGUGCCUAAUACAUGCCCGUCGAGCGAACAGACGAGGAGCUUGCUCCUCUGACGUUAGCGGCGGACGGGUGAGUAACACGUGGAUAACCUACCUAUAAGACUGGGAUAACUUCGGGAAACCGGAGCUAAUACCGGAUAAUAUAUUGAACCGCAUGGUUCAAUAGUGAAAGACGGUUUUGCUGUCACUUAUAGAUGGAUCCGCGCCGCAUUAGCUAGUUGGUAAGGUAACGGCUUGCCAAGGCAACGAUGCGUAGCCGACCUGAGAGGGUGAUCGGCCACACUGGAACUGAGACACGGUCCAGACUCCUACGGGAGGCAGCAGUAGGGAAUCUUCCGCAAUGGGCGAAAGCCUGACGGAGCAACGCCGCGUGAGUGAUGAAGGUCUUCGGAUCGUAAAACUCUGUUAUUAGGGAAGAACAAAUGUGUAAGUAACUAUGCACGUCUUGACGGUACCUAAUCAGAAAGCCACGGCUAACUACGU